GGAAGUUAUCAGUCAAUGAACAGCAACAACGUGUGAAUUGAGGACACACCAUCGCUGAUAACAAGCUCUUUAAGUUGCUAAAGUUCCUGGUUUGAUAGAAGCACAAGGUUAGUAUAUGCUUCUUUUCUCAGACAAAUUAAUAUGAAGUACCUAUAUAACAUUUUUGAGAAGUUUGGUCGAGUUACGUGUUGCAGAGUAUUAGCAAAUAUGCUAUAGUGAUGAUGAUGGUCAUGGUUAAUACAGACGUGAUUCAUGUAGUUCCAUUUUAUUCAUGGUAAAGCUCUAUGCCUGCAUUGAAAUGAUGUCUAAAAAUUUCUUUCAUGUUAUUUGGUUAUUAAAGGAGGUGAAUUCAUGUGUUAGUUUAAGCUAAUCCUAACUAGUUAAAGCACUCUGAUUUGAGGUUGUCAUUUUGCUAAAAACAAGGAAGUUAAGUUCAUCAUUCUUGACGGUUUAAAGAAUAUAUAAUUUGAAAAGGUUAUUGAACACAUAAUUUAAAGGGCUAAAAGUAUUUUCUUAUGACAGAAAGUGUAUUAAUACGGCUCUUAUUAUUUUCUUUAGCUCCUACGGUGUGUUCACACUAUUCAUGGAUGUCAAAAGGAACUGCUGUAAAUAAAACUUUGUGAACCAUCAGUUGCAGAGUCAGAUCAUAAAUCAACUGGGUAUGCUACAGUAUGUGAUGGGCUAUUUCAGAGAGACCUGGUUCUGACCUACUUCAUCUUCUUAGUUGGCAGAGAUUCCCGUCUUUGUAUUUAAAAUCUCUUUAGGAAUGAUAAUUCAGUUCCUGAGGUGGAAACAGAGAGGGCUCUAUCUGCUACAGUAUAUUGGAGUUCAAGUCUAAAGAAAGCUGAGAGAUGAGGCCGGCCUGACCCCACUCAACAGUGUUUCUUAUAAGACUCUAUGUAUGACCUCUGCAUUUAAACUAUGUAAAACAUGGGUUCUGCAUUGUAUACGUAUUAAGACUUAAAUACCAGUAUUAGGAAAUAUACUGAAUGUAAUUUUCACUACCAAGCUGAAAAAGCCUGGAGACCAGGGUUUAUAAUUUAAGUGUGAGCUAUUUCCAGAGGUUGAUUUUCAAAGUUGAGCCCAUAACUUACUUUUUAUUUCAUUAAGGGGAACCUUCCCAAAAGUACAAAUAAGGUUGUAUCUGAUCUAAUCUAAUCUAAUCCAAUCAAAUUAUAUCCCCGAGAGCCUGCGACCAUUGCUGUGGCAACCUUUGAUUGAAACACCACUCACUUAUACUGACUUCACCUCCUGGAACCACCACUUGCACAGUAGCAGUGUACGCACUCGGCAGGAGAGUCACCGAGGGUCCUUGUGAUGACGCUUGGCUCAAACAGCGUAUCUCCUGGUUGAGCAAUCUUCUUACACCCAUUGGCUGUAUCAAGUGUCAAUCAUAGAAAACACGAAGCCCCUAAUAACUUUUAAAAAUGGCGCUGUACAGAAAAAAAGAGGACUUGGGCACAAACCAGUCUUACAAUAACUACAUAUCAACAUCACAACCAGGGGGAAGAAAAAAUUAUAUUCUUUGUAAUACAUUUCUAAAGUUUGUCUACAGCUCCAUGGGGAUGGAUGGAGGAGGCUGGAUUUAUGACCUGUACUGCAGCCCAUCACCAGAGGGUGCUGUUCUCACGGUGGCUUCACCCAGCAAGGAGGCAGACGUCGCCCAUUCCAUAUACAGUCUAUGGCCACAUGUGGUUCCCAAAAUGAAUAGACACUCAAAAGGUUCAGUGCAUAGUGUUUUUUAGCAGUCUUAGUGCCUUUUUGGCGCAAUAUGUCAAACAAUAUAACAAACAAUAUGAAAUAAUGUUUGUUUCUCACCAAAUGCAAACUGUCUGUAUUAGUCUCUGUUCCUGUUAAAGCUUGAUAGAGAUUGAAGCCAUGAUUAAGACAUGAUAAAACAUGCUCCUUAUUAUUUGUUUCCUUGUGUUUACAGCCUUUAACGAAAGCAAAAAGAAGGCAUAAAGAGUCAGGACCAACAGCAGAAGCAGAAGCAGAGCCGUCAUUCAGACAUCCUGCAGUGUGUCACUCUUCCAAAUAAAUGGGUAACUGCCAUUAAAACCAGCAUAUCUAAUAUUAAGAAGUCAAACUGUAUGCUGUCUGUUGAUAUGGAUUUAGAGGUCACAGGUUUUGCAACAUUUUUUCCAGAUAAAUUGCAGCAGCUGACAUUCAGGAUGUACUUUGUAGCUGCCGUGUCAAACAGUGAGGGUUUAAUCAUCCUAAAGAACCAAACCUGACAUCCUGAGAGGUGUGAUCACACUCCGCUCAGUGUUAGUGUGUGAGUGGCUGAACACAUGCAGAGAGUGUUAUCUACCCUGCAGAUUAAGACUAAUUCUGCAGCACUCGCUCUCUAAUGCAAAUCCCUGAAGCUGUGAAAGUUCUCUGACACUCUGAAAACAUUAGCUGAAGAUUUUUCUGCUGUAGAAAAGUCAAUAUAUACAAGAACGGCUUUCAAAUUAAAUUUCUUCUCUGUUCUUUUAUCUCAUGCAAAUGGCUCCAGGCAGCAUUGCUCCUUUCUUACAGGCUGUUGAUUGUGAGAUAAGUGUGCUCUGGUGUGGCCUUAAGAUCAUUGACUGAAACUGAGACUCUUGGAACUAUCUUACAGGGACCGGGACCUCUCAUGAUUCUCAGGUCAGUAGUGAAUAACGAGGGGACACAGAGCAGUUUGCAUAGUGCCACUCAAAACUGCUUGAGAUAAAGAGGGGAGGGGGUAGAGACAGGAACCAGGGUUUUACAGAGGUUAGAAAUCCUCCACUGGGCUCUAUAUGUGCCCAUGAUAGGAUGUCACAUUGCUGUUUUUUUUUUUUUUCCUGUAGCACAUGAGCAGAAUCCCACACCCCUUCUGAACCUAACUAAAGAGGAAACAGGAGGGGUGUUUGGUAAUGUGGAGGCUCUGCUAGGCUGUGGACAGAGCUGCUCUGAUGAUUUCAAAAACAGCUCAGCCUCCAGCAGAAAUCUGUCUCCAUUUAUUUUUUAUCAGUGAUAUAAGCCUCCCUUUAUUGAAACCUGACUCCACUUUAUUUGGACCUUAUCGUUUUAACUUCUGUUUUGUGAGCUAGUCGUUGACUACGUAUGGAAGAUGGAGAAAAUUUGUGUCCACAGGCUGUUGUGCUCAGCUAAAUUUCCUCUUAAACAGUAUUGCAGAUCUGUACCUCUGUCCUGUCUUAAGGUCUCCCUCCGGAACCCAAAACAACCCCCCUCCCCACCCAAAAAAAAGCCUUUCAAGAGCUUUUCAAGAGACUUCAACAGGCUCUGCUGUCAUCUCUGCUGUAUUUAGACAUCAGUAUGCUUCAGUGCAGCACUCUGCUGAAGCACUGACCUUCUAUAGUUCAUCCUCCAUGUGAAGGCUGCUGUUGGUCGUCUUUACUGCAUGUUAUGAACUAGACUAGGAGAUACAGGUAUUUAUUCUAACAGUAAUUUAAUCAAACUCAAUUGAAAUCAUUCAACAUAUUGAGAUAAGUUUUUCUACAUUAUUUGUGCUGCAGGUCAUAGUUAUCCAAAUUAAAGUGGAAACAUGUAGGAAAUUAUUGACAUUUCUUGUGUAACAAGUUUCUAGUGAAUUCAUGUGCUGACAUCAUGAAUCCACUAUCAGCUAAUAUGAGUUACUUUAAUUCAGGCUUUAACUGCUUCUAAUCUUUAAGGAGUUUUUAUAGAUUGACUACACAAGCACAUACACAAAUAUAAAAUUCAUUUUUGUUCAUAACUAACCUCAGUCAGUACCUUUAUACGCAUGUUAACUGUGAGCAUAUGCUCCAUCAGGCCAUUUAACUGGACUAUUCUCUUUUUCCCAGCAAAAAACUGGGCAGUUCAUAAAGUCUUUAAAAACAAACACUUAACACAUACUGAGAAAUCUAGACCAUUGAACAGGAGGGCUCUGUCACCUCAUAAACUAAAAGGAGACCUCAGCUCUUCCUCACUGUAUUUGUAUUUGUAUUUAUUUAUUUAGCACAGAUUCAAACAGUGCAAGGAGGGAACAAAGCUGAUAGGCUUAUACAAAGUUCCACUCCCGUCAGGGCAGAGAAAGCAUAAGGUGCAGACAACUAAAUAACUAGGACAUAGACAGAUUACACAUGUACGAUGAUUAGGGAAAGGUCAAACAGAUACAAAUUGCCAUAAAUGAAACACAGACUAAUCAUCAAACAGUGAUAAAGACAAUAUAAGUAUUGGUGGUUACUAUGUUUCUGGUUUAAAACUGAUGUUGAUCCACAUUUAAAUGGGUGUUUGGUUAUCAGGAUAGAAAAUCAAUGAUUGCUGUCACAGGUCUGCACAUUCUUUAUGAUAGGGGGGAGGGGGGGAUUGGGCUUAUUAUUCUUUAUUCUUUUUUUUAUUCUUUUCUUUAGUUUUAUAGGUAGCUAAUGAGACACAGAUGUGCAGCUCUUUCAAAUCUCCAGGCCUGCAGGCUGAUUCCCUGCUCCCUUCACAUUUAUGUGAGUGAGCACCAGAACAUCUCAGACAUAAUGCUUUUUUUCUUUUUUCCUACUAAGCAAUUAGCUAAGUUAAACCUGACAAAUGAUAAUGAUAGUCCGAUAAUUGAACAUCUUUGCAAACUGCCUUCUUCUGUGCUCUAAGUCUUGAGUCAGAGAAGUUGAGUUUGAAAUAUGCAAAGAAACCCUUUUUUUAACUGAGAAAAGCAUCCCCAGUUUAACUGUAUGCAGGGAUAUAUGUGAUGAACAAAAACUAAUUAAACUGGCCUUUAACUUUGUUAACCACCUGUGGGCUUUAUUUACUACCUUUAAUUUGUUUAAAGGUGAAGGAGGAGAUCAUACUGUGGUAACAAAGUCGUCCUCUGAGGGGAAAAUCUCAUUAUACCUCACAGAGUCAUGCUGUGCUGUGGGAAAUCAAUAAUGUUGGAGUUUCUCUGAGUAUUAAGACACUAAAAGGACUUUGACCUUUGAUCUCUGAUUCAUUACCUUCCUGGAUGUAUGCUCUGUGAUGAGAUAUUUGUUAAUGGCUGAUUAGAUGUUGAUUUUGGCAGGUGAUAUUUGUGUACAUGCAGAGUGAAAUGAUGAUAAAUGUGCUGUUUGUCACCAUGAGAAGUACCUUGCUGUGCAAAAAUGAAGUCUCUUUCAGUUUGUGUCCUCAGGUUUAAUCAUGUACACAGACAAUAAUCAUUAAUUUCCUCUUUAAAACAUGUUAACUGAAACCUUAAUGAUAAUGUGGAUGUUUUCUCGCCAAGACCAAAGCAAAAUCCAUGAACAGGAGCCUGGCCAGCAUAUCUAUUCAUGAGGCAAUAGUCAUGGAUGGGAAAAAGAGAAACUGCAGUGUCAACACCUGCACUUUCUCCUGAGUGAGUCUGAGCUGCUGCUGCUGCUGAAACUGAGAAACUCAGGGAUUGUUGUUGGAGCUGUUACCUCCACAUGUUCUGAUAAUUGGUGAUAUCGAUCUGGUUUCUUCAGCUAGAACAAGGACAGACCUUCAGCAUCCAGCCUGAUGAGGACUGUGUUCACCAAUCUGCACGUCUGACAGUUCACUCCUUCAUCCUCACAGACUUUGUGAAGCUGAUUUCUGUUUGUUCAGUGGAAAAUACUGGCAUGUGGUCCUCUUUGUCCUGCUGUGAAGAUUCUUUAAUGCAGUUUUUAUGAAAUCUCCCUGUCUCUACCUGAAGCUAUUUCCAUUUUUUAAAGUUCCUCCACAUUCAAAUGUUAUUUUACCAAAACAAAAACAGACAGAAAAGGCAGGAAUAAGUGAUAUCUCACCUGGAAAAAGCGUAGAGGAACUGCUGGGUCUGCUGCUGUGUUUCUAACAAAGAAAUAGUCUGUCUGGUAGAGACUGCGGAAGAAUGAGAGAGGGGGAAAGAGAGGAGGAAGACAGAGAGUUUUGGUGGUCGAGCUUCCACCAAUGACUCCAUAAUCUGGCAGAUAUGAAGAUAUAUGAAAUGAAGAGGGCCAAACUAUGACUUAAGCACAAAAUAAAGGUUAAAUAUCACAGAAAUGAGGUGCAAUGGGUCUGUUUACAUUAACGAAGUCCAAGCUUGUUGAUUAUGUUUUUGUCCUUUAUGUUUUAAUGAUGAAUUUGAAUUUUCAAAUUUACACAGCACUUUGCUUAGUAUGUGGAGAGUCACUGUUUAUUAUCAUCAGUGCCUCUGCUGUCAGAUCUGUGCUCCUCUAAUAUUGCACCAGAAACAGCUGGGGGCCAGAUAAGUAAUCCCCUUAAAGUCUGUCCUACUGUGUGGUGAUUUUACUGAUAUUUGUUGUUCAUUUCUUGUUCAGUUUCAGGCAUCAUUACUGCUCAAGGAGUCUAUUGUGGUGCCAGUGGCCAGGAGCAAAUCAGCCCAAGAGCUUAAUUGAAGUUCCUUACACUUCACUGGUGAUGAAACAAACGUGUCGACUACCUUGGGGUAACCAUAUUUUGAGUAAAGAAAACCAAGACAAAAACCAGGACUUGUCCUGGCAAUGAGAUACUCUCUAUCUUUAGUUUUCUUCUCCAUCCUAGUGGCCCGAUAAAAAGCAAUGAAAACCAGGACAACUCCAUCACUUUAUAGAGAACAACCAGGACUGCCCUGACAGAACGUAGGAGAAAGGACAUUUGGUCACCUUAUACUACCUGCACAGACAUGGGCCAGUAGAUAAAACAUG
Molecule: non-coding RNA, 6572 nt
Organism: Xyrichtys novacula (pearly razorfish)
Lineage: Eukaryota; Metazoa; Chordata; Actinopteri; Labriformes; Labridae
Source: the annotation of a GenBank genome assembly